RNAcentral lists this long non-coding RNA (455 nucleotides) under Physcomitrium patens. RNAcentral describes it as "long non-coding RNA (PPAT_LNC009551)". Lineage: Eukaryota; Viridiplantae; Streptophyta; Bryopsida; Funariales; Funariaceae. The record is from RNAcentral.
UAGUGUAAACAGGGAUAGAUAACUACUGAAAAGGUGGUUCAGCAGGUAGAAUAGAUGAAUAGUCAGGAAAAGUAGUUAUCAUCUAUAGUAUAGGAGUUGAUAUCUUGGGGUAGUAUAAGGAGGAUGGGAGAGGGGAAGAAAAUGCCAGACUGUGAGAGUUGUGAGCCGGGGUAAGCUUGGUGCUACCUCUUUUCUUUUAUUUGUUAUUUUCUUUGAAUAAGAAGAUUGAAAGUUUCUGAAUAUUGUGAAGUGAAUUAUGGAAUAGAAAUGUGAUUGGUACUAUUUGAGAAGAAGAAAGAUUAAAUGCUGAAAUCUGAUUGUAGUUCAGCAGAGAGAAUGAGUCUGUGUUUGUGUGAAACAUUGUAAUGUGAAUGGCAGUUCUAUAUGAAGAAUUCUAAAGAUUGGAACGAGGGUAAUUGUGUGCUGAAAGCUGUGAGGGCACAGUAUUACAGUUG